Molecule: long non-coding RNA, 2080 nt
Organism: Zingiber officinale
Lineage: Eukaryota; Viridiplantae; Streptophyta; Magnoliopsida; Zingiberales; Zingiberaceae
Exons: 2
Source: RefSeq, a predicted model, not a curated record
UCUAUUUUUUCUAAAAAAAAAACUUUACACUAACUUAUUGCACCUUCGUUGUCUCCAGUUUCAAUGGAUAAGAGUUGGAAUUUAUGGGUUCAUUUUGUAGGUCAACAUGAACAUGGCUAAACAUUAUGCUGAAUUUAUUCACUGGAAUCAAGAUAUCAGAUGAUGCAAGAGAUUGCUGACCAGAGGUAACAAUAAUCAAUUAAGUUUCACCCCAGUCAUUUAUAUUGCAAUUCUGUUAAUUUAUGGAGCAAAUACAUAUUUAUGCUUUCAAAAUAAUGGAAUUUCAUAUUCAUUAUUUUAAAACUCGACGAGGCAUAUAUGACAUUGUGUUUAAGCUUUUUUGUCUCCUUAAGCAUGCUACAUUUUUUUUCAUUUUAUUUAUUUUUCACAUUUAAAUAUCCAAUUAUAUAUUUAUUAUUUCUUGUACCAUACAUAUAUUAUAUUAAUUAUAUGCUUAAAUUAAACAAUAGUUGAAAAAUCAUAAAUGAUUAAAUUGAAAGGCAUUUUAUGUAUAUUAUAUUAAAUCAACAGGGGAAUCCAAGGUGUAAUAAGUUGAUAUACAUAAUUAAGUGUCAGUUAGCAUAUGAUAUCUCCACAAGCCAUGUGAAGCGAUAAUGACAGGAUGGGCUCCUACAUUGCGGUCAAUCCCCACCAAGCAAUGGGCAACAUUUGGUGUCUUGGCAUACGCGUUCAAGACCAACAACACUCAGAGGCUUGGGUGUUCUCAAUCUGAAAGCUAACAACCUUGCAAUGCUGUGUGUUCUUGGUUGUGGAACCUAGUUAACUGAUGAUAUCGAUGAAGUGGAUCUCGAUUGGCCUGAAAUUGUAGAACAAACCAUCAAUCAAGAUGAACACAUAACCCCGGUUAAAUCAAACCACAAAUGGUCCUCCUUCGGAAAGAUAUGAUGAAGUCAUGAAGGUACUGAACUUCCUGAUAGGCCUAAAAAAUUGGACAUCAGAAAUGUCUGGAAAACAAACUUUUGGCUGGACAGGUGAUCAGGUGACACAAUCCUAAGUAACCACUUUCCCGAGCUUGCUAAGAUAAGCAGAAAUCUCAAAACUCUGUCAGAUAGUGGGGUAAUCCUCCAAUAGGGACUGAUGCAACUGAUAUAGUUUUGUGGAGGGUGUUCAUAAGUGAUUUACUAGCACAUUUGGUCCUCUGUUGAUCCAAAUAAGUUAAGAUUUUUCACUGGCUAGUUAAGACGAACAGAAUUAACACACAGCAGGCUGCAAAGAUUGGAAAUGGUUAUUCCAGACGGCAGAUGCUCUUUUUGUGGACGUGACGAGGAUAUUAAUAUGCCACUGGUUCACAAAAUAUGCUUUCACUAAAAUAGGUUGGUUUUUCCAUGCAGAUGCACUCACUUGCCAUCCAAUGGAGGAAACACUGAGUUUCUUUUUUGCAACUGCUGGGGAAAGGAUCUUCAGCAAGGGAGUAACCAGGCAUAGAUUUGCAUGGUAUGGAGGCAAUGUAAUUACAUUGAUUUUAGAGUGGAAAUCCCUCAAAGCCCAUCACUCUACCUACAACUUAUGGAGGAGAAGAGCAAAGGGAAGGAAAAGGAUCAAGGUGCGUGCUAUAUUUUCAGGAGCUUAAAGCAAAAAUUGACUUGAUUAAUAGAAUCAUUUCAAGCUGAAGAGGUAUUUGCUGCAGUAUCAACUGAAGGGAUGGAAGGUGUACAUGAGUAAUUUCUUUUUUCUGCUUUUGUUGCAACUACUGAUAAUACCCAUCUUGGUCCUUUUGCUCUAAUUCUUAACUUUUCUUAUGCUUAUUAAUAUUAGCUGUUGGUAGGUAAAGGAAUACUUAAGUCAACUUCUUCUGGCGAUGUUAGACUCAAAAGCACAUGGAUGACUUUGAGAUAAGCAAGAACAAUGCUUCAUUGUCAGAGUCAUGGAAUCAUUUCUGUAUAUGAGCUGUGCAAUAUUUUCGAUUUGUCAAACUUUGAUACUCCAAAGCAACUGUGAGUUAAUGAGUUGUUUGAUUUUGUUAUUGGUGCUUAGACUAUGAGGUAUAUAGAAUGCAUAUCAUCUAUUUUUUAAACAAGCAUAUUUGGUUAGUAAAAACAGCGAAAAUAUUAUGAUUUAA